GGGAAAGAAGCAAGGGGAGGUGCUUGGAGUUGGAAAUCAGGGUUGAGGAUUAAGAUUCAGUAAUAUAUCAGGUUAGGGAUUGGUGGAGUGAUUGGGCAAAAGUCCAGAGAUGAGUUGGCUUUAGUAUAAGGUCAGGCUUACAGCAUCAGAAGCAGAAAUCUAGGGGUUGCAUCGGUUUGGCGUUACACUUCGUGACUGGAAGUCAUGGUGUCAGGAGGUCACAGAGGCCACUUCUGUUUUAGAUUGGACUAGGCAGUUGCUGAGGUCCCUUCCAGAUUUGAGGUUUGGGGGAAACUCACUGCUUGUCAUUUCUACAGAUGGAAGGGGAUUCAAAGGCACAGGACCUCCAUGUUACCUCUCAGUCAUCGGCUGUUGCACCGAGCACGCCAUCUGAGCCGGGAGCUUUGCCUGCUGCUGAGCCUGGCUGGACUAGCCAUCGCCGGUCUGCUCUCUCUGUAUAAGUCAUGGAUUUGCUUUUACGUGCCAGUGGGUGCUCCCGGCAAUUUCACCGUCAUUGACAUCUACACCUCUCUCCUUGUUCCCUGCCCAGAGACCGAAUGCACACUGGAGCCUGAUCAGCCGCCCUAUUACCUGACUUACUCCGUUGUCUUCAUACUCAUUGCUAGCCUCAUCAGUUUCCUUCUCUGCCUGGCCCUGGCCUACUCCAUUAUCUUCUUCACAGGCUCAGUGCCCAUCUUUGACCUGUCCACCUCCAUUGCCAGCUUCACUUCAGGCAUGAUCCCUAAUUCUUGGCCCUUUUCUGAUCCCAAUUCUCAAUACAACCUCAUCACCAACUCAAUCCAAAUUCAAUUUUAUCCCCAUCCUUA
Molecule: long non-coding RNA, 827 nt
Filed under: Vombatus ursinus (common wombat)
Lineage: Eukaryota; Metazoa; Chordata; Mammalia; Diprotodontia; Vombatidae
Description: lncRNA (ENSVURG00010006837.1)
Source: RNAcentral